AAUCUUCCGCAAUGGACGAAAGUCUGACGGAGCAACGCCGCGUGAACGAUGAAGGUCUUCGGAUCGUAAAGUUCUGUUGUUAGGGAAGAACAAGUACCGGAGUAACUGCCGGUACCUUGACGGUACCUAAUUAGAAAGCCACGGCUAACUACCUUCCAGCAGCCGCGGUAAUACGUAGGUGGCAAGCGUUGUCCGGAAUUAUUGGGCGUAAAGGGCACGCAGGCGGUUAUUUAAGUCUGAUGUGAAAUCUUGUGGCUUAACCACAAGCGGUCAUUGGAAACUGGAUAACUUGAGUACAGAAGAGGAGAGUGGAAUUCCACGUGUAGCGGUGAAAUGCGUAGAGAUGUGGAGGAACACCAGUGGCGAAGGCGGCUCUCUGGUCUGUAACUGACGCUGAGGUGCGAAAGCGUGGGUAGCGAACA
RNAcentral lists this ribosomal RNA (422 nucleotides) under uncultured bacterium. RNAcentral describes it as "partial 16S ribosomal RNA". It matches the Rfam family "Bacterial small subunit ribosomal RNA", at positions 360 to 774 of the family's 1533-position model. The record is from RNAcentral.